RNAcentral lists this unclassified non-coding RNA (345 nucleotides) under soil metagenome. RNAcentral's name for it is "partial contains 5.8S ribosomal RNA, internal transcribed spacer 2, and large subunit ribosomal RNA". The stretch from base 1 to 119 matches the Rfam family "5.8S ribosomal RNA", at positions 35 to 154 of the family's 154-position model. The record is from RNAcentral.
GAUGAAGAACGUAGCGAAAUGCGAUACGUAAUGUGAAUUGCAAAUUCAGUGAAUCAUCGAGUCUUUGAACGCACAUUGCGCCCCCUGGUAUUCCGGGGGGCAUGCCUGUCCGAGCGUCAUUGCUGCCCUCAAGCACGGCUUGUGUGUUGGGCCCCGUCCUCCGAUCUCGGGGGACGGGCCCGAAAGGCAGCGGCGGCACCGCGUCCGGUCCUCGAGCGUAUGGGGCUUUGUCACCCGCUCUGUAGGCCCGGCCGGCGCUUGCCGAUCAACCCAAAUUUUUAUCCAGGUUGACCUCGGAUCAGGUAGGGAUACCCGCUGAACUUAAGCAUAUCAAUAAGCGGAGGA